UACGUAGGGUGCGAGCGUUGUCCGGAAUUAUUGGGCGUAAAGAGCUCGUAGGCGGUUCGGCAAGUCGGGUGUGAAAUUUCGAGGCUCAACCUCGAAACGCCACUCGAUACUGCUGUGACUGGAGUCCGGUAGAGGAGUGCGGAAUUCCUGGUGUAGCGGUGAAAUGCGCAGACAUCAGGAGGAACACCAACGGCGAAGGCAGCACUCUGGGCCGGUACUGACGCUGAGGAGCGAAAGCGUGGGGAGCAAACAGG
This 254-nucleotide ribosomal RNA is filed under the name uncultured bacterium. RNAcentral describes it as "partial 16S ribosomal RNA". It matches the Rfam family "Bacterial small subunit ribosomal RNA", at positions 524 to 776 of the family's 1533-position model. The record is from RNAcentral.